CCUACGGGUGGCAGCAGUGAGGAAUAUUGGUCAAUGGUCGGGAGACUGAACCAGCCAAGCCGCGUGCGGGAUGAAGGUACAGAGUAUCGUAAACCUCUUUUGUCAGGGAACAAAGGCGGGGACGUGUCCCCGGAUGAGUGUACCUGAAGAAAAAGCAUCGGCUAACUCCGUGCCAGCAGCCGCGGUAAUACGGAGGAUGCGAGCGUUUUCCGGAUUUGUUGGGUUUAAAGGGUGCGCGGGCGGUCUGUUAAGUCAGCGGUAAAAGCCCGGGGCCAACCCCGGGCCCGCCGUUGAAACUGGCAGGCUCGAGUUGGAGAGAAGUAUGCGGAAUGCGCGGUGUAGCGGUGAAAUGCAUAGAUAUCGCGCAGAACUCCGAUUGCGAAGGCAGCAUGCCGGCUCCACACUGACGCUGAGGCACGAAAGCGUGGGUAUCGAACAGGAUUAGAUACCCGAGUAGUC
RNAcentral lists this ribosomal RNA (459 nucleotides) under uncultured bacterium. Its description in RNAcentral is "partial 16S ribosomal RNA". It matches the Rfam family "Bacterial small subunit ribosomal RNA", at positions 338 to 795 of the family's 1533-position model. The record is from RNAcentral.